Molecule: long non-coding RNA, 851 nt
Filed under: Helianthus annuus (common sunflower)
Lineage: Eukaryota; Viridiplantae; Streptophyta; Magnoliopsida; Asterales; Asteraceae
Description: hypothetical non coding rna
Source: RNAcentral
UUUUUGUUAAUAGGAAAUAAUCGUAAAAGGAUAUCUGUACAUUGAUGAGAUUCAGUGAUUCAAAGUGGUCACACAACUAUAAAUAAACAAUUAACACUAUGUGCACGCACACUCCAAAAGAUUAUAAAAAUUGGCCGUAUUUACUGUUAUCGAGCAUGCAUUUCAAUGAUCGAUGAUGAUUCGUUGACAGAAGAACUAGCAGUCGGAUUCGACUUAUCGACGUCACCUGAGCUAUCUAACAAGAGCCCUUUUGAAAGAAAAUAUGGCGGUUUUUUCGGCUGGGGUAAAGUAAUAGAGUUGUUAUUAAGCAUAUUGAGAACACUAGCCAUGGAAGGCCUUGCAUCUGCAUCUUCUUGCACACAUAAUAAACCGAUGUUGAUGCACCUAACGACAUCGUUUUCCGAGUAAGAAGAUUCAGCAAGUGAUGGGUCCAGUAGCUCCAACGCUCUUCCACCCGUCCAUAGUUUCCAAGCCUGGUAGGAGAUCCUCAACAUCAUCUGGUUGAUAAAAGCUAGAGUUUCUUCGCCCACUAACAAUCUCGAGAACUAUGACACCGAAACUAAACACGUCAGAUUUCACUGAAAAAUGUCCAUGCAUUGCGUACUCUGGCGACAUAUAUCCACUGGUUCCAGCAACUUUCUUUGUGUUUCCUAGAGUUUGAUCCCCCUCAAAAGUCCUAGCCAAUCCAAAAUCCGCGAUUUUUGCAUUCAUGUCCUGAUCUAGUAAAAUAUUACUAGCUUUGAGAUCCCGAUGGAUGAUUCGUAACCGUGAAUCUUCAUGUAGAUAAAGCAAUCCUCUAGUGAUCCCUCCAAUAAUUUUCCAUCGUGUUACCCAAUCCAAAUGCCCAUGUU